This 528-nucleotide non-coding RNA is filed under the name Canis lupus lupus (Eurasian wolf). Lineage: Eukaryota; Metazoa; Chordata; Mammalia; Carnivora; Canidae. The record is from RNAcentral.
GCUGUACCCUUGGAUACAAACUUCCCCUGAGAGUGUAGGGCAGGCCUGCUGAGAAAGCUAUGUCUACCUUGGCAAAAACCAACCAGUAUCUUUUUCCCUUGCAUGGGGGAACUUGAGGGAGAUGGGACUGAAGGAACCCAGGUGGGAAGAGCAGGGUGGAAAAUCAACAACCUGCAAAGGGAGAUGCAAAUAAAAUGCGGAUGAUUGUGUUGCUUUGAAUCGGUGUGUUCAUUUUUCAUAGGAGUGGUAGCCAAGCAGAGAUCCUAGGUGGACUACAUGUCUGCAUUUCCCCCUAAUCCUCCUCCCUGUCUCCAGGACCUCAGCUUGAUGCUCAGGGGUGGAUAUGUCUGCAGAACUGCCGGCUGAGAGGAGGUGGCUCGGGAACUCCCGAGUGAUACUCUCGGCCUCACACCUAUGGGGCUGGUGCCAAGGGCACUGCAGGAAUCCCCACAGCUGGGCAAGUGGGAGGGAGGAUGAACAUCCCCAGAUCUGGCCAGGUCCUCUCCUGGCAUCGCCCUCGAUCCUGAG